This 1442-nucleotide long non-coding RNA is filed under the name Suricata suricatta (meerkat). RNAcentral describes it as "lncRNA (ENSSSUG00005007489.1)". Lineage: Eukaryota; Metazoa; Chordata; Mammalia; Carnivora; Herpestidae. The record is from RNAcentral.
GAGUGAGCGGCUGCGCGGCUGCUGGGAGGGUGAAUGAAGCCAGGAGGAGGGGAAGGAGGAGGCGGCGGCGGCGGAGGAGGCGCUGCGGGGAUUGGGAUGCGCCCUGGAGCCCCGCUGCUCGUUCACUCUGGGCCGGGCCGGAGACUCCGCCACUCCCGCGGCCGCCGCCGCCGCCGCCUCCUACGUGGUUCCAGCGCUGCGAGCAGGCCGGUCCCGCAGGGGGCAGGGAAGGGGCCGGCCGGGCGGAGCGAGAGAAGCACCGUGCAGCAAGUCGCGAGGCUGGUCCGCGCACGCCGGGGAUUGGUUUGCCAUCCUUGUGAGACGGUCUCCUGCUCCACGGCCACUCCAGGGAGGUGCGCCCCAUAUCAGGUGUUGUGCAGAGUUACUGCUGUUUGAUCUCCACUGGGCUUUGUUAGAAGUGUAUUAGAAAGUCAGAAGGCACAAAUGAUUGGUCCCUUUGGAGGUAGGUCAUUUAUCACUACCUGAGUAAAUUGAAAACAUUUUUUUAAAUGUUUAUUUAGUUUUGGGGGGGGAGGGACAGAGAGAGAGGGAGACAGAAUCUGAAGCAGGCUCCAGUCUCUGAGGUGUCAGCGCAGAGCCCAAUGCACGGCUUGAACCCGUGAACCAUGAGAUCGUGACCUGAGCCGAAGUCAGACACUAACGGAUUGAGCCACCCAGGUGCCCCCAAAACGUUUGGGGAUUAAGCCCAGUGAGAGUUGUGCAUCGAUUAUGAGAGAUUUGGAGAGUUGGGGGCAACUAUAGGGGGGAGAAAACAGAAAAUAGGAAUUUAAAAAAAAAAUUGGGCUUAGCUCUUCAGAGACCACAAAAGACAUUUAAAAAGACUUAGCACAAACAAACAAACAGAAAAGAGUGGAAAAAUGCUGUUAAAUAGCCGUAUUCUAAAUAGCAUCCUAGGAGCAGAUCUGGAGAGAAUGGAAGGCAGGGACAGGUCUUAGGGAAGUCCAGGGGGAGAUUAUCACAGUUUGGUAACAUCCUUGUACUUGGAAUUAUUUUGCUCUUAAUAUGUGAUAACAUGUUAACAAUUCAUGGAGAAAUGUUCCCAGUUUGGAAUCCACAGCAGAAUCACCUCAUAGGUACGCUGGCGGUGAGAUCCAGUUGAAAGAAAAUGUGUGGCAGGUGGGUGCAUCCUUCUCCCGGCCCCCUCCCGGCCCCCUGGGGGGCUCCACUUUACCAUGGAGCAGGUAGGGGUGCUCUAUGGGUGCCCCGCACAGCACAGUGUCUUAGGAGUCAGCAAGUUCAGAAUUUCCUUAAAACUCUUACUAAGACAGAGGCAUCCUAUCCACACAGCAAAGGUGUUUAAGAGAGUUUAAGAGCUGAGAAAGGGUUGCACUAAAAAUGUCCUUAGUCUCCCCCUCUCUUAGAUUUUAGGGUCAAAACUACCUUUCCCUUGAAAAUGAGAAGGGGAGAAACCCCAUUUAACA